GAGGGUCCCCGACUGUGAUUUUGCCCUUGACUUUCCAGGCUCUGCAUUCGCUUGCCCCAUUACCCGUCUUGUAUGCAAUGUCUGAGAGGAAAAUACCGAGGCAAGUAACAGCGCUGUUAUAAUUUUCUAGGAAAUGGUUUCCAAGAUAAAUAAGGAUUGACAAAGUCGUUAUGCCCAGCGGGGACAAAAUCAAGCCCCUGGCCAUCAUAUCCAACAUUGCCCCAAGGCAAAGAUAUCGGAGCUGUUCCUUUGCUGGAGACGAAGAUCGGAGUGUUUGUGAAAGAUCGUUGUUGGUGGUAAACACUCUUUGUUUUUGCACGGAAGGCCGAGCAGAUAUGUGGCACAGAAACUAGGGCGGAAGCAUGGAAAACGUUGUGGACAGUGUCUGCACAAGAUAUUCGAAGUGAUAGCAAUGGGUGUAACCCUGUUGUAGAUAAUUACAAAUGGGCCACUUUUAUCUACUGCAACAUAUGCCUUUGUCUUCACCAUUUCCACCUUAAUUGGCGAUGUAGUGGGCAUUCUAAUCGAUGCCACUAUGGAGGGAUAUUUGACCGCUUGGGUUUUAUGCAAUUCCAAUGGGUUUGGCCUGUGAAAUCUUCAUUUAUGUGGCUACAAAUCAACUUCUGAAGCUAGGGACGACACAUCGUAAUUCUCAUAACCACGAGAUUUCAUUGUAUAAGCCAUUUUACAGUUUUAUGGCUGUUGUUCUUGGUUCUGGACUGAUUAUAGUGGUAUAUCUUUGUCAUUCUUUUGACUAUGUGAAAAUGUGUUGGAUGCCAUAGAGCUGAUAAAAUGUUGAUUAGCGAGCCCCUUAGUUAGAUUCUUCAAUGGCUUACCAAUUCCCGUAUCAUAAGAAACGUCCAAUAUUUAUCUUCUUUUGAAGGCAUAUGUUGACGAUCUGUCUACUCAAACAGAUAAUGAUAUCACCUUCAAAAUGUGAGGUUGUAAUUCAUUCCCCAAUCUCGUCACUAGGUGGAUUGCCAUAUUACCUAUGUGCUUAGAUUAUCGGCUAAAAGUAAUGAAACCUCCUAUCAUGUAAAUACAACCUUAGCCAAGGUAUGAUAAUAUUCCCAAAAAAACUCUAUUGGAAAAGUAUUAUUAGUUCCUGCCGGGGAGGCUAUAAUAGUUAACUCGUUAUUAAUCUGACCACAGACCACCAAUCAUAUUUAGUUUUGAUGCAAAUAUUUUCUUGUUUGGUUGGUUUCUGCCUGUAAAGAUGCAAACUAUUUAUGCGAAUUAUUACCCUCAAGUUUUUUUGGCAUUGGCAUAUUGGAUACACUGGCGGUUUGCAGGGGUUUGCAGGGCUUUGUGCGGUUCUCAACAAGAGAGAACGCACAUCUCCAGAGGCUGUAGGGCUGUCAAAGCAGAAUCCUCGACUGUUGCAGAGGUCUGAUCUCGGGAAAAUCGAGUAUGAGCGCGAGGAACAAAGCGUCCAGACAGAUGGCUAGUAGGGUUUUCAUUUUGGGCAUCCAGGCCAGAAGAACAGUGUAAAUUUUUUUUUAUAAAGGCAUGUUACAGUUUUUUAAACAUUCAGCGAUUCUAGAGGCGAUUCUGGAGCACGACGUGGCCUUCUUUUCCCCUUCAGAGAUUUUGCAGCGAAAUCUGCUCUGUUCUAGCAAAGGUUUAUGGCGUGAUGAUGUUAAUAGAUUGCUUAUGACAGCGAUCAAAGUUGGAUUAUAAUGACUGGGUUGGGCGCAAGGGGUUGACUACUAGGCAUUACAGCCUAGAUAGGCCGAUGUUGGACUUCAGAGGCCAGAGCUAGCUUGGAAACAAUGGAAUCAAGUUACAAAUCUAAGAGACCAAAUUUCUGGACAAGUCUUCUUUAAUUUCAUACAUCCUAUUUGCAAAAUGUGAAUGCAUUGGCAGGGCAUGUGAAUUAUUAGACAGAAUGCCUCAUAAAGAUUUGGUCUCAUGGACUGCAAUUAUUGCAGAAUAUGCGCAUAAUAGAUUAGUUAAAAGUCUCUAGACACUUUCAAGACAAUGCAAUUGGUAGGCGUAAAGCAAGACUCAAACCACCUUUGCCAGUAUCCUCCCUGCCUGUGCCAAAAUGAGAGACUUGGAUAGGGUAUGGACACUCAUCGAUGACGUGACAAUUUGAUGAUUGUUCUUUUCUUUCCUUUUGAGCCGACUGUUGUUUGUAAUGAUAUUCUUUGACUGGCCGAGAUGCAUAAUGAAAUUAUAUAAUUUAUUUGUAACAAUCCUUUUGGCCAGCUUCCUUUUGUGGCAAUUUAUUUUGUUGGAGCCGGCUUAGAAGGAACACUGCACAUAGGGGUCAAUUUAGUAGCAAAGGGAGGAUGAUUAAGUGCACCUACAAAUUAAUCUUGAUUUCCCCCAAGCUACUGCUGUAAUCGAUAAAGUAUUUUCACAGCUUAUCAAAGGUAUUUACGAAUUCCAUAAACCACUAAAUAUUUUGUCAUGGUAUUAUAGCUCAUUUUGGAAGUGAUAAUUCUAAGGUGAUCCAGGUUAAGAUGCAUAGACCUGUUGAUUUGCAACAAAUCGAGGGUUGUCCCACGGCACAGGUUUUAGUGUAUCCGGCUAGCCUUUCCAGCUGUAGAGUAAAUGAAGUCAUUAACACGUUUAUGGUUCCUCUUUUGCUUAUGUGAACAACCACACUAUAUGAUGUUUUAUCACCUGAACACUUGGUUUGGUUUAGUAAAUUCUACCAUGAUAUCUACUGUGUAAACUACCUUUGAGAGCAAAGCACACAGAUUAAAAACUUUGGCUCAAUGCUUGGCUUUAUUUUGAUGGGAUGUUUAAAAACUUCUAAACCACAAAUGAACAGUUUAUUAAUUGUACAAUAUCUUUUUUUUGAACUUAAUGCCUGUAGCUGUUUUACAAAUAUUAGUACAAAUUUUGAGCUUGGCUAUGAAGCAAUGUUGACCAGUAAUGAUGUAACGACAAAGCUCUCAAUUUUUCAUGGAUAGUUUGGCCUGGUUUGGCUGUUAUAUUGAUUGUGGUAGCCAUGUUAUAUAUUUCUUGUUCAAGUUAUUUAUUGCUAAUUAAUGAAAGGUCUUUUGUUUUCAUUGUUUUCUUAUUAAUUACAAUAAGCAGGUCAUAUAUUUCUAUGACAAAAUUCAUUUUUGGAGUUUGUUAAUGCUGCAAAAUAGACUGCAUUAUAUGGAGUAAUGCAUGAACUAGUUAAAGUAGGAUGCAUAGCAAAGCAAUGGGAUACUUUACUAAGAUAAUCUCAAAGUGUCCUGAAGCUUGUAUUAUAGAGAUUGUGGGAUUCUUCAAGAACUUGGACUUGAGGAAGUAAAAGUAUUUGAGUGCAAGAGCAUAUGCUCCAAUGCUUGGUAUCUCCCUCCUGCCCCCAACCAAGUGAAAAUCAUGGCAAAUGGCAUUAUAGAUUGAGAGAGGAAAUACCGGAACAUCAAGCGGCCGUGAGGUACAAAUUCUUUCUAUAUUUCUUUAUACAGUUUAUUUGGUCUCUAGUCAAUUUGAAAUUGCUCUCAUAAAAUAUGAUUAUUCAAUGGGGUUGUUACUUUUCUAUCUGUAUCAACAAACAUGUUCCAUUAGGUGAUCCAUGUACAUUUUAGUGUUUUGUUUUGUAAGUUGCAAACUGCAACAAUACAGUAGAUAGUUUCUCUUUUUUAAUAAAUGCUCAUGCCUAUUCAAAAGCACAGAGUCAAUGUGUUCCAUGAUAGUUUUGUAGUUAGAGAAAUGGAGCUAAAAUUAGUUCUUAUAAACUAAUUCUAUAGUGGCAAUGCAAACGGAUCCACAAAAGCUAUGCAUAUAUUGAUUGGCCCAAAUGGCAAGUGUGCACAUAGAAGUUUUCGGAUCUACACUAGAAACAAACAGGGAGCUGGAGAAGCAUUUUGACAUUCAAUGUGGACAAGCCAGAGCUAUCAAAGUUCUGAAACCGGGCGCAAUGGAUUUGAUUACCGGGGCAAUGAUUUCCCAACUAUGGAAAAUAGUUUGGAUAAAGAGUCUUCGGACGCUUCGCCUACAGUUGAAUAUCAUAUAUACACAAACACAUCAGACAACACCAAUACCAGAACUAUUUUUCCAGCCUCUGGCAGGAACUUCGCUGCUCUGCAGAGCAGCUCUUGUUUCUAAUGGCAUGUUGAGGAAUUAAGAAAAGAUAAUUUACUUUAAAAUAUUUCA
Molecule: long non-coding RNA, 4104 nt
Organism: Cryptomeria japonica (Japanese cedar)
Lineage: Eukaryota; Viridiplantae; Streptophyta; Pinopsida; Cupressales; Cupressaceae
Exons: 2
Source: RefSeq, a predicted model, not a curated record